This 497-nucleotide ribosomal RNA is filed under the name uncultured bacterium. RNAcentral describes it as "partial 16S ribosomal RNA". It matches the Rfam family "Bacterial small subunit ribosomal RNA", at positions 28 to 507 of the family's 1533-position model. The record is from RNAcentral.
GAUGAACGCUGGCGGCGUGCCUAAUACAUGCAAGUCGAGCGAACGGACGAGAAGCUUGCUUCUCUGAUGUUAGCGGCGGACGGGUGAGUAACACGUGGAUAACCUACCUAUAAGACUGGGAUAAAUUCGGGAAACCGGAGCUAAUACAGGAUAAUAUUUUGAACCGCAUGGUUCAAAAGUGAAAGACGGUCUUGCUGUCACUUAUAGAUGGAUCCGCGCUGCAUUAGCUAGUUGGUAAGGUAACGGCUUACCAAGGCAACGAUGCAUAGCCGACCUGAGAGGGUGAUCGGCCACACUGGAACUGAGACACGGUCCAGACUCCUACGGGAGGCAGCAGUAGGGAAUCUUCCGCAAUGGGCGAAAGCCUGACGGAGCAACGCCGCGUGAGUGAUGAAGGUCUUCGGAUCGUAAAACUCUGUUAUUAGGGAAGAACAUAUGUGUAAGUAACUGUGCACAUCUUGACGGUACCUAAUCAGAAAGCCACGGCUAACUACGUG